CCCUUCCUUGGGCCCCGCCCAGCCCCGCCGGCCGCCCGCUACCUGGGGAACCGAGGGAGGAACGGGCGGGGUCCUCAGGUGCCCGGCGACGUCAUGCAGCCCCCAAGGCUCCAGGACGCAAAGGGUCCCCUGAUCUGGCAGUCCCUGGACCCACCCUGGAGAGCGUGGGGGGACAAAGGCCGGACGCGCCUCCCGCUGCCGCCUCCAGGAAGCUAUCCCUUGCCAGGACAGUGGAGUUGGCCGGCUGAAGAGGAAAAGGAACAGUAGGUACAAAGCAAGGCAACAUCAGAAAGGGGAGCCCUGAGGAAUUUCUCCCUCCUUCCCCCAGCCAGGUCCUUCCAAAGUGCCUACGGAAAGCUCUGUCCCACACUUGAAAAAUUGCUAAUGGGUUUGGAGAUACAAGGUGGAGAUGACUAGCAAUCAAACUCGAAGAUGGAAAAGUCACAUCGAGGCAGAUGAGCAGAUGAGGGGACCUAGAGAAGAAGAGAGGUGCAUGGAAAGCCCAGCCAGCAGGAACAUCUGCCCCAGCAGGCAGCACUGCCCCACAUCAGAGUCGAGGAAAGCAAAGCUCGGAUUGGAUAAAAGAAACCUGCGAACACGGUCAUGCUCACUGCACGUGGGCUCAGAGCACGUUACCCUCCUUCCCUGCAUGUUCCUGUGAAACGGGUUUACUGCUCUAACUCUCAGGGACGCUGUGAAGAUCAAACGAGAAAAUAGAAAUAAACAUAACUUAUAAACCAUAAAGUACUGAUACCAAAAGAGGGGUGAGCACAGCAUUGUGAAUGUGCUGAUACUAAAUGGUUUACUUUAAGAUGAUUUUAUGGUGUGUGAAUUUCGCUUGAAUAAAUUUUUUUAAUGGAGUUCAUGGGGACGCUGCAGGAUGUCAAUAACCUUUGGACAUUUUGGCAGCGCUUUAGGUGUUAAAAUUAUUUUUUAAAAAAUACAGGAUGAAGGGAAAAGCUUCAUGACGUUGGAUUUGGCAGUGAUUCCUUGGAUAUGACCCCAAAAGCACAGAUGACAAAAGAAAAAAUAGUUAAAUUGUCUUCAUCAAAAUUAAAACUUUUGUACAUCAAAGAGCUCUUUCGAAAGAGUGAAAAAGUCACAGAAUAAGAGAAAAUGUUUGCCAAUCAUAUACCUGAUAAAGAAUUAAUAUUCGGAGCCAGAUGCAGUGGCUCAUACCUGUAAUCCCAGCACUUUGGGAGGCCAAGGCAGGCAGGUCACUUGAGGUCAGCAGUUCGAGACAAGCCUGGCCAAAAUGGUGAAACCCCAGCUCUACUAAAAAUACAAAAACUAGCCAGGCAUGGUGGCGGGCACCUGGAAUCCCAGCUAUUUGGGAGGCUGAGGCAGGAAAAUCGCUUGAACUCGGAAGGCAGAGGUUGCAGUGAGCCAAGAUCACGCCACUGCACUCCAGCCUGGACGACGAAGUGGGACUCCAUCUCAAAAAAAAAACCAAAAACAAAAAAAGAGUCACUAUUCAGAAUAUAUUAAGAAUUCCUACAACUCAACAACAACAAAAAAAUCCAACCCAAUUAAAAAAUAGGCAACAGACCCAAAUAGAC
Long non-coding RNA from Symphalangus syndactylus (siamang), 1559 nucleotides. RefSeq lists it as uncharacterized. Lineage: Eukaryota; Metazoa; Chordata; Mammalia; Primates; Hylobatidae. The record is from RefSeq and is a predicted model, not a curated record.